RNAcentral lists this ribosomal RNA (253 nucleotides) under uncultured Desulfomonile sp. Its description in RNAcentral is "partial 16S ribosomal RNA". It matches the Rfam family "Bacterial small subunit ribosomal RNA", at positions 524 to 776 of the family's 1533-position model. Lineage: Bacteria; Pseudomonadati; Thermodesulfobacteriota; Desulfomonilia; Desulfomonilales; Desulfomonilaceae. The record is from RNAcentral.
UACGGAGGGUGCAAGCGUUGUUCGGAAUUAUUGGGCGUAAAGAGCGUGUAGGCGGCCGGGUAAGUCAGAUGUGAAAGCCCUUGGCUCAACCAAGGAAGUGCAUUUGAAACUACCCGGCUUGAGUACGGGAGGGGGAAGCGGAAUUCCUGGUGUAGAGGUGAAAUUCGUAGAUAUCAGGAGGAACACCGGUGGCGAAGGCGGCUUCCUGGACCGAUACUGACGCUGAGACGCGAAAGCGUGGGGAGCAAACAGG